Molecule: long non-coding RNA, 186 nt
Organism: Scaptodrosophila lebanonensis
Lineage: Eukaryota; Metazoa; Arthropoda; Insecta; Diptera; Drosophilidae
Exons: 2
Source: RefSeq, a predicted model, not a curated record
UCGGAAUAAGGCUGGACUAAAAAAUACUUCUGAUCAGAUUGCGGCCGAUGUGCGGGAUCCUGCCGGCUUAGUUAAAUAUAUCACUAUUGGAAUUGAUCCGGCAUAUUGAACCGAUUUAUUGUUUUUAAAAUUUAAAUAUGCUUAACAAAUGCUGCCCCAGAAGGAAUGAGAUCGCCAAAGCGAACG